UUUGACCACAGAGGGACACAGCCCACA
This 27-nucleotide non-coding RNA is filed under the name Rattus norvegicus (Norway rat). The record is from RNAcentral. Lineage: Eukaryota; Metazoa; Chordata; Mammalia; Rodentia; Muridae.